UUUAAAGUCUAAUCUGCCCUAUGAGGAAUUAAAUGGCCGCGGUAUUUUGACCGUGCAAAGGUAGCAUAAUAAUUAGUUUUUUAAUUGAAAGCUAGAAUGAAUGAUUGGACGAGAAAAUAGCUGUCUCAAUAUAAUUUUAUUAGAAUUUUAUUUUUAAGUAAGAAAGCUUAAAUUAAAUUAAAAGACGAGAAGACCCUAUAGAGUUUUAUAAUUAUUUGAUUAUUAAUUUUUUAGAAUUAUUUUAUUAAUAGUUAAUUAGUUAUUUUGUUGGGGCGAUAGAAAAAUAUAAAUAACUUUUUUUAAAAAAAUUAUCAUUAAUUUAUGAUUUUUUGAUCCAUUAUUUAUGAUUAUAAGAUUAAGUUACCUUAGGGAUAACAGCGUUAUUUUUUUUUAGAGUUCUUAUCGAAAAAAGAGAUUGCGACCUCGAUGUUGGAUUAAAAU
Molecule: ribosomal RNA, 441 nt
Filed under: Serica atrata
Lineage: Eukaryota; Metazoa; Arthropoda; Insecta; Coleoptera; Scarabaeidae
Description: partial 16S ribosomal RNA
Source: RNAcentral